RNAcentral lists this long non-coding RNA (524 nucleotides) under Lathyrus oleraceus (garden pea). RNAcentral describes it as "Pisum sativum (pea) long non-coding RNA (PSAT_LNC016881)". Lineage: Eukaryota; Viridiplantae; Streptophyta; Magnoliopsida; Fabales; Fabaceae. The record is from RNAcentral.
UAUAAUCAACAACAAAUGAUAUUAAAUCAACAAACAAUAUCACUAUAGUGAUCUUAAGGGAUCUAUCUCAAAUCUCCUUUAAUUUUCAUAGCAACUCAGAUAAAGCAAUUUGUUCAUCAAUCGUUGCCAAUAAAGUUUUUCCCAAAUAUUAUUUGGUCAAACAUUUGAUGCAUCAAUAUCAAAUACAGUGACCAUAUGAGAUUUAUCCCAAAUCCCAAUUGGUCAUCCAUAAUACUAAAACAAAUCACAAUGUUAUUCAUCAAUCAAGCCUAAAUCUUAUUUGGCCAAACACAUUACAGAAGAGAAAAUACCAUAACCCUUGGCGCCGAUGGGAGGGUAAGGACCCUCGCUACCAUGGCUACCUAUUAUCACCCAUUAAUAAGGAAACCCCCCCUUACCUUGAAAUUGAGGUUUUCAAGCUUUUCGCUAUGGCUUCCUUGCUCUCCCUCCUCCAAUUUCUUCACUGCCUCUUUUCUCAUAAUUCCCAAACACACUACUAUCAAUCUAGCUUCCCCUCAAACUUU